ACGCUGGCGGCGUGCCUAACACAUGCAAGUCAACUUGACUGAAGGAGCAAUCUGACAGUAGAGUGGCGCAAGGGUGCGUAACGCGUAAGUAACUUGCCCCAAGGUAAGGAAUAACGUCGAGAAAUCGGCGCUAAUUACCUCAUAAUGCAGCGGAUCCGCAUGGAUAUGUUGUUAAAGGUUUACCGCCUUGGGAUAGGCUUGCGUCUGAUUAGCUAGUUGGUGUGGUAACGGCACACCAAGGCUACGAUCAGUAACUGGUCUGAGAGGAUGAUCAGUCACACUGGAACUGAGACACGGUCCAGACUCCUACGGGAGGCAGCAGUGAGGAAUAUUGGGCAAUGCUCGAAAGAGUGACCCAGCAACGCCGCGUGGAGGAUGAAGGUAUUCUAUAUCGUAAACUCCUGUGAGAGCAGACGAAAGACAGAUUAUUAAUCUGGAUGACUGUAUGCUCAGAGGAAGCCCCGGCUAACUACGUG
This 476-nucleotide ribosomal RNA is filed under the name uncultured bacterium. Its description in RNAcentral is "bacterial SSU rRNA". It matches the Rfam family "Bacterial small subunit ribosomal RNA", at positions 33 to 507 of the family's 1533-position model. The record is from RNAcentral.